This 2229-nucleotide unclassified non-coding RNA is filed under the name Octopus sinensis (East Asian common octopus). RNAcentral's name for it is "macoilin-like, transcript variant X2". The record is from RNAcentral. Lineage: Eukaryota; Metazoa; Mollusca; Cephalopoda; Octopoda; Octopodidae.
ACGCAUACGCACACAGACACAGACACACUCACACAUACAGAGUGUUGUUGUUUUGUCAUUUCUAAGCUAGCUCGCUUGAAAGAAAGGAGAGAAAACAUCGGUUCGUAUUGGAAUAUGAAGAGACGGAAUGCCGAGAGUGGCAAACUGCGGCGCCCGGUGAAGCGCAGCAAAAUAACUGAUAGCAUUUACGGAAGUACAUUCCUUUACCUGAAGUUUUUUAUGGUUUGGGCUUUAGUUGUAAUGGCUGACUUCAUGUUGGAAUUUCGAUUUGAAUAUCUGUGGCCAUUUUGGUUAUUGCUAAGGAGUGUGUAUGAUUCAUUCAAAUAUCAAGGCCUGGCAUUUUCUGUAUUUUUUGUUUGUAUUGCUAUCACAUCAGAUGUCAUCUGCUAUCUCUUCAUACCUGUUCAGUGGCUUUUCUUUGCUGCUAGCACUUAUGUAUGGGUUCAUUAUGUUUGGCAUACUGAGCGUGGCAUUUGUCUUCCCACGGUGUCUUUAUGGUUAAUAUUUGUUUACAUAGAGGCUUCUGUCAGAUUACGAGAAUUAAAGAGUUUACCUUUCAAUUUAGCCCUUUGUCGACCAUUUGCAGCACACUGCAUAGGAUACCCAGUUGUCACUUUAGGAUUUGGUUUUAAAAGUUACAUUUCAUACAGAAUGAGAUUGCGUAAACAAAAAGAAGUUCAAAAAGCAAAUGAAUUUUAUAUAUUACUUUUACUGAAAGCUUUACCGCCUGAUAUUCAGAAUUCUUAUUCAGAAAAACAGCGAGCUCUUUCUUCUAAAACAGACGAAGAAGUUAUUUCAAACGGAGUUUCCGGAAAGAAAUCUCAUAAAACAGAUAACGAGGACAAAGAUAAAGCGAAACAUUUAACGAAAAACACAGACGACGACGACGAAGAAGAAUAUGAUUUUAUAGAACAGCCUUUAUCAAAAAAAUCUAAUGUAAAUGACUAUGAUGAAAACACAGAAAAUGAUCACCAUACCAAAUCGUACAAAUCUAACACAGUUUCGAAAUCACAAGGUAACAAACUAAACAGUAACAAGGAGAAUAAUUCAAAGAAAGGUAAAAAUUACAAUAAAGACAUUUCUCCGACAUUUAACAACAACAAAGAUGAAGUAAUAAACAGAUUAGAGAAUGAUGUAAAACGCUUGAAAGCAGAUCUUCAGUCUAGUCGUAAUUCCGAACAAGAGUUACGGUCACAAAUUACAAAUAUGUCCCUGUCAGACAAAUCCAUGCGGUCAGAAUUAUAUCAACUACAGCAAGACAAUGAAAAUUUACAGAACAAACUACACAAUCUGGUGACCUGCAGACAACAAGACAAACAGAAUCUCUCUAUCUUGGAGCGUAAACUACAAGAAGAGCGCAAAGGAAAAUGUGUAAUAGAGCAGCAGCUGGCUUCUGAACGGAAGGCUAAAAAAGCCGAAGAGUCUGCGACCAGAGCUGUUUUAUUGGCUGCUGCAAGGGAUGAAUGUUCAGAAAACUGCAAAGCUCGACGAAGAGAUACCGAAAAUGAUCUGAAACAGUUGCGGAGAGAAUUAAAGAUCAGAGAAGAACAGUUUAGACAGGUAGAAAGAGAAGUACAGAAUCUUCGUCAAUACAAAGAAAGCCAGAGUGAGUCAGAAAUUUUAAUGUCAGCACUUGCGGCAAUGCAAGACAAAAAUACACACCUGGAAAACAGCCUGAGCGCAGAAACCCGAUUAAAAUUGGAUUUAUUUUCUGCACUUGGGGAAGCUAAACGGGAAAUUGAAAUUCUGAAAAAUAUUGUACAGAAAAAAGAAUUGGAAAUUACAGACAUAAAAUCCAAAAUGGCAGAAGCGAUGGCACUGCUACCAUCAACCAACACAUUCAACGGUCUUCAUACAUCUACAGAAUCGUCUCCACUCUUCACCAGCAAAUACGCCAAGGAAGAUGUGAUUGUGAAAUCAAACCUGAAUCCUCACGCCAAAGACUAUGCACCGAAAACAACCAUUUGAAAUCUUCAACACUCCUUUGCUUCGGCGGCCUCUCUGCCGCCACAACAACAACAACAACAACAACACACACACGUACACUCACACAUGCAUACUUUUUUUUUUUUUUUUUUAUGUUGCGUAGCUCUUUUGGAAUUGAAGCUUGUCUAUGAAGCUGCAAUUGUUCGCCUGCCUGUCUUCAUGUUGGUUUACCAUCGGUGUGCUUCUCAAAACCUGUGAGAGGAUCCACCCACACCACCCCCCGUUUUGUUGUUUUCUUAAAAU